This 500-nucleotide ribosomal RNA is filed under the name uncultured Glomeromycotina. RNAcentral describes it as "partial small subunit ribosomal RNA". It matches the Rfam family "Eukaryotic small subunit ribosomal RNA", at positions 591 to 1092 of the family's 1831-position model. Lineage: Eukaryota; Fungi; Glomeromycota. The record is from RNAcentral.
CCAAUAGCGUAUAUUAAAGUUGUUGCAGUUAAAAAGCUCGUAGUUGAAUUUCGGGAUCAAUACGUCGGUCGUGCCUUCGGUACGUACUAACGUCAUUGAUUUCUCCUUUCUGACGAACCAUGAUGUCAUUAAUUUGGUGUUAUGGGGAGUUAGGACUGUUACCUUGAAAAAAUUAGAGUGUUUAAAGCAGGCUUACGCUUGAAUACAUUAGCAUGGAAUAAUGAAAUAGGACGUUCGAUCCUAUUUUGUUGGUUUCUAGGAUCAACGUAAUGAUUAAUAGGGAUAGUUGGGGGCAUUAGUAUUCAAUUGUCAGAGGUGAAAUUCUUGGAUUUAUUGAAGACUGACUACUGCGAAAGCAUUUGCCAAGGAUGUUUUCAUUAAUCAAGAACGAAAGUUAGGGGAUCGAAGACGAUCAGAUACCGUCGUAGUCUUAACCAUAAACUAUGCCGACUAGGGAUCGGAUGAUGUUAAUUUUAUAAUGACUCAUUCGGCGCCUUACG